AAAAGUGAAUACCAGCAACAUUUUCACUGCUAAAUUUUGGCCCUUUAGGACACUUUUUAUUGCUUUGAGAUGGCUGGUAGAGCCUGUACUAAUAAUGUUAGGUCACUGUAGGGAAUUAUUAGUGGCAUCAGUAAUGGAUUUCUUUCCAUACAUUUAGGCCUACAUCUCGACUAACAUCGAGGAUAUCAAUUACAUGUAAUCAUGCCAUUGCAUCCUGACUGUUAGCGUUCCCUCACGUGACGCCCUUGAAAAAAAUUGCCAAAACCCCACAUAAACAUUUUGAGAAGUUCUGUAAACAUGAUAAUUUCUAUUAUUAUCUCAAUUUACAUACACUUAAAGGUUUGUUGGAAAAUUAUUUUAAAUUUUUGGGCAGGUUUAGAAGUGUGUAUUUUGCAUCAAAGGAAAAAAAAAUGGGAAAAAUAAGCCAAAAUAAAUAUUUCAUUGGAAAGUUGUAGAGGGUGAGUUAAAUCAGGAGUUUUGAGAUUGAUGUUGCUCCAGCAAGGCACUGGAGGCAAAAAAAAAUCAAACUGCGCCAAAGUUAGGGGGCGUACAGUUAGGGAGCUUCAACAAUAAAUGAAGGAUGUUGCUGUGAUAACAGUAACAGCUGAAGGGAUGCAUUGUCUUUGUUUUUAUUGUAGGAGGAAGUCAUUAAGAGAAGUUAACACGUAGAGUCAGUGAUGACAUCUGUAUUUUAUCUCCUUUUUGUUCUUCUCAAGAAGCGGGAUUAAGAGACUCAAGUUCCAGUGAGGACCCAAGUGACAGCCACUCUGACAGUGAUGAGGAGCAAGAAAAGUGGCUGGAGAAAAUAGCAGGUGUUAAAGGUGAUAGCAGCGUGAUUGGUUCCCUGCCCCUGGGCUAAUCUUCUGGCAUCACUGGCCUGAUAGAGUAAGGUGAUAGCAGCAUGGUUGGUCCCCUACCUGUGGGCUCAU
Acanthaster planci (crown-of-thorns starfish) is the source of this 929-nucleotide long non-coding RNA. The record is from RefSeq and is a predicted model, not a curated record. NCBI's taxonomy places the organism in Eukaryota, Metazoa, Echinodermata, Asteroidea, Valvatida, Acanthasteridae.